Molecule: long non-coding RNA, 1856 nt
Organism: Mya arenaria
Lineage: Eukaryota; Metazoa; Mollusca; Bivalvia; Myida; Myidae
Exons: 3
Source: RefSeq, a predicted model, not a curated record
GAUACACCGAUGUCCACGUCACUAGAAGGAUAGCACUCUACACUCUUAUAGAUAAAAUCUAGUAAUUUUUAAUAGGGACAUACUAUUAGAAACCUAUAAAAGGCGGCUAUUAAUUGUUAGGUUUAUCAGUUUUCUGCACAGUGCACAGAAGCAAGGAGCUAGCUAAAAGGGAAUUGGACAAGCGUCAGUGUUGAACCAAUAUUGGUAUCGAGAUAAGUGGGAAGUGUUUGAAGAUCUUCCUUUAUAAAUAGAAAAUCCAACAUGUUUGAAUAAACAUUUUGAUCCAAAAUGAAAAUAAAAUGAGCGUUUAUUUUCGCUACUUGUUAUACCUCUUGCUAUCGUCUUUACUUAUGAGAAUUUGUGAGAGUUUUCCUUUCAUUAAAAUGGGAAGCAAGCAUAUGUUGACCGGGACAGACAAAGACGCUAGUGUACUUUCAAGUGGUUUCGGAGAGUUUGUGCAGGACGAUAUUACAUUAAAAGAUGAAUUAUCCAAACGUACCGAACAUUUAAGAAAGGUGCGACGUAGUACCGUGGAUGCAAUAGCUUUGUUGUUAAAAUAUCAUAUUCUUUUACACGAUUCAAAAGCAGAUCCAAAGACACAUGACACGGAUAAAAGAUCAGAAAAAAUGCCUACUAUACAUAAACGUUUUAAUGUAUCAAGUGAUUAUUAUUCAGAACUCAAUGGACAACCAAACAGUCAAUUAACACUUUUAGAACUUUUACUUCAAGACCCAAAAAUAGCAGACGUUUUGAAAGCAAGAACUAAGCACAUAUCAUCAACCGAUCAGCGUAGUCGACGUUCCUACUUUCUUGGUUUGGACGUCGGCACGGCUGUUCCCGACACGGACACAGAUGUGACUUUUGGUGCUCAUACAGCUCCUUGUGAUUACAAGGACAGAAACUACUGCUUGAACGGAGGGACAUGUAUGCUUGUGCCUGCCAUGGAUUUACAAACAUGCAGAUGCAAGAUCGGUUACACGGGACUACGGUGUCACAUGAUCAACCAGGAAUUUCUGCUGCAUCUGCUCUCGGAAGAGUUCUUCGGCUAAACAUAAUCAAAUGGAAUAUUGGUACUACUCGCCAUUUUGACACCUGACCACUGUGUACCACGUGGUCUCGCUUGGAGGCACGUGAGUGAGGUCACGUGAUACAGAACCGAUCCGGGAUUUGACCAUCACAUUAAGAAAGCCAUGAAAUGACGUGUACGUGGGAAAUGCAUCGUUUAACAUAUCCAUGGACGCAAAGAGCACCGUAAAUAUCCGAGUUUCUGACUUCUGCCCACUUUCAUAUGCAAAUGAAAAUGUGUGACAUUAUGGGAUGGCAUUUUGGAUAGAAAACUCGAAGCGCCAUUAUACGGGAUGAACUUUAGAAGGCUUUUCGCAAUAAGCCUGUAAGAACAGUGCAGGCGAUUUAGCGACAUGUCCAUUUUUGUCGUCUCCAACUAUUAACAGCGCAGAAGUAAUUUUAAACGGUAUUGGAAAACUCACACAUCAGUUGGUCAAAUGUUUAAGCUCAUACUUUUUCAGCCUCCUAGGCAUAUGGUUGUGGAUUUUUUAUGCAUUGGGAAGGUUUUUGAUUGGAUUUCAAAACAUUAAUUUCACAAUAUGCUACCUGUAUGUUCAAUGUUAUUGUAUUUUUGAUAUAUUUGAUCUGUGUCUUUGAAAGAUAUGUAUAAAUAUGGCAAAAAAUAUAUAUAAAAGAGUGUGGACAUUCAAGUUUCAUCAUAAUUACGGUAUUUAUUUACUUUACAUAUUUAUUUAGUCAUGGCAUAUUUAUUUGUCAUAUGUCUUUGUUCAUUCAUUAUGUGAUCGUGUAAACAUAUAUCUGCAAUGAUUGUAGUGCUAAAAUAAAAUGUU